GGGGGCGAUCGGUUUCGACGGGGAGUGCGAAGGCAGGGACAGCGGGUCGAGGUGCCGUGGCCUCGUUAAACUGCGGCGAGCACGAUAAGUGCCAACAAUCAACUCGCUCUCGCUGCUUAAUUAAGCAGCCGUCCGACCCUCUCCUCUACCCGGGAGGAAGGGAAGGGCGUCAUCUAAACCGGGUUGCGGCCGGUCCAAUUCUCGGAGGGCCGGUCUAAGACCAUCGAGAUGGCCGUUAUGGACCCUGCCCGUGGGGGCCGUACCGGCGAGAGCAAAGCACGGGCUGCACCCGGAGAAGUCUCUGCGGUCGCCUUUUCGGACGGGGGUUCGACUCCCCCCGCCUCCACCA
This 349-nucleotide transfer-messenger RNA is filed under the name Bacillota bacterium. It matches the Rfam family "transfer-messenger RNA". Rfam says of the family: Bacterial tmRNA, also known as 10Sa RNA or SsrA, is named for its dual tRNA and mRNA-like properties. Its role is to liberate the mRNA from a stalled ribosome. To accomplish this part of the tmRNA is used as a reading frame that ends in a translation stop signal. Lineage: Bacteria; Bacillati; Bacillota. The record is from RNAcentral.